AAUUCUCAACCUUGCGAGUUUUGCUUGCGAGGCUUGGAUGUGAGGGUUUUUUGCUGGCUUCCAUUUGGUUGGAUGGUCUGCUCCCUUUAAAUUCAUUAGUGGGAUCCUUUGUGGAUGGUCACUUGGUGUGAUAAUUAUCUACGCCGCCUGACUCUGAAACAAGACUUGUGGGAACCUGCUUAUAACCGUCUCUUUCAGAGACAGCCUACAUUGACA
RNAcentral lists this unclassified non-coding RNA (216 nucleotides) under uncultured Mycena. RNAcentral describes it as "sequence contains ITS2". The record is from RNAcentral. Lineage: Eukaryota; Fungi; Basidiomycota; Agaricomycetes; Agaricales; Tricholomataceae.